UCGCCAGGGUACUACGAGCAACAGCUUGAAACCCAAAGGACUUGGCGGUGUCCCAAAUCCACUCAGAGGAGCCUGUUCUGUAAUCGAUACCCCCCGCUAAACCUCACCUUCCCUUGCUAAUUCAGCCUAUAUACCACCGUCAUGUCAGCCUACCUUGUGGAAAGAUAUAACAGUAAGCAAAAUGAAUCCAUCCAUACGUCAGGUCAAGGUGUAGCACAUGGGACGGGAAGAAAUGGGCUACAUUUUCUUAUAAAGAAUAACACGGAUAAGCUAAAUGAAAACAACUUUGAAGGCGGAUUUGACAGUAAAAAGAAACAUUUACAUUCUCUUUAAACCGGCCCUGGGGGGCGC
RNAcentral lists this ribosomal RNA (351 nucleotides) under Epicrionops sp. RNAcentral's name for it is "partial 12S ribosomal RNA". It matches the Rfam family "Bacterial small subunit ribosomal RNA", at positions 869 to 1384 of the family's 1533-position model. The record is from RNAcentral. Lineage: Eukaryota; Metazoa; Chordata; Amphibia; Gymnophiona; Rhinatrematidae.